This 83-nucleotide non-coding RNA is filed under the name Gimesia chilikensis. Lineage: Bacteria; Pseudomonadati; Planctomycetota; Planctomycetia; Planctomycetales; Planctomycetaceae. The record is from RNAcentral.
CUAGUGCCUCUGCAAGGAGUCGCGAUGCCGUUUCAGAAGUCAGCCGAGGCCAUAGUAGCGCUGUAUUGAGUGGCGUGAAGGGC